AUCUGGCUCAGGAUGAACGCUAGCGGCAGGCUUAACACAUGCAAGUCGAGGGGCAUCGGGAGUAGCAAUACUGCCGGCGACCGGCGCAAGGGUGCGUAACGCGUGAGCAACAUGCCCGUAUCAGGGGGAUAAUCCAUGGAAACGUGGUCUAAUACCCCAUAGUAAUUAUGUAAGGCAUCUUAUAUAAUUUAAAGCUUUGGUGGAUACGGAUUGGCUCGCGUGACAUUAGCUGGAUGGUAAGGUAACGGCUUACCAUGGCUACGAUGUCUAGGGGUUCUGAGAGGAAGGUCCCCCCACACUGGAACUGAGACACGGUCCAGACUCCUACGGGAGGCAGCAGUGAGGAAUAUUGGACAAUGGAUGGAAAUCUGAUCCAGCCAUGCCGCGUGCAAGGAAGACGGCCCUAUGGGUUGUAAACUGCUUUUGUAUGGGAGCAAUAAGGGCUACGUGUAGUCCGAUGAGAGUACCAUACGAAUAAGCACCGGCUAACUCCGUGCCAGCCGCCGC
RNAcentral lists this ribosomal RNA (507 nucleotides) under uncultured bacterium. RNAcentral's name for it is "bacterial SSU rRNA". It matches the Rfam family "Bacterial small subunit ribosomal RNA", at positions 17 to 518 of the family's 1533-position model. The record is from RNAcentral.